Molecule: small RNA, 1186 nt
Filed under: Pongo abelii (Sumatran orangutan)
Lineage: Eukaryota; Metazoa; Chordata; Mammalia; Primates; Hominidae
Description: transcribed unitary pseudogene
Source: RNAcentral
CCGCUUCAUACCCACACUUCAUCCUCCUGUUUCUCUCCAGGCCACCAUGUCUGCAGGCAACGGCACCCCUUGGGGGUCAGCAGCGGGGGAGGAGGUCUGGGCUGGAUCAGGAGUGGAGGUGGAGGGCUCAGAGCUGCCCACCUUCUCGGCAGCAGCCAAGGUCCAAGUGGGAGUGACCAUUGUGCUGUUUGUUUCUUCGGCUGGAGGGAACCUGGCAGUCCGGCGGUCAGUGACACGGCCGCAACCCAGCCAGCUCCGCCCCUCUCCGGUCAGGAGACUCUUCGCCCAUUUAGCAGCCACCGACUUACUAGUCACUUUUGUGGUUAUGCCCCUAGAUGCCACCUGGAAUGUCACUGUUCAAUGGCUGGCUGUGGACAUCGCAUGUCGGACACUCAUGUUCCUGAAACUAAUGGCCAUGUAUUCUGCAGCUUUCCUGCCUGUGAUCAUUGGACUGGACCGCCAGGCAGCAGUACUCAACCCGCUUGGAUCCCGUUCAGGUGUAAGGAAACUUCUGGGGGCAGCCUGGGGACUUAGUUUCCUGCUUGCCUUGCCCCAGCUGUUCCUGUUCCAUACCGUCCACCGAGCUGGCCCAGUCCCUUUCACUCAGUUUGUCACCAAAGGCAGCUUCAAGGCUCGAUGGCGAGAGACCACCUAUAACCUCUUCACCUUCUGCUGCCUCUUUCUGCUGCCACUGACUGCCAUGGCCAUCUGCUAUAGCCGCAUUGUCCUCAGUGUGUCCAGCCCCCAGACAAGGAAGGGGAGCCAUGCCCCUGCUGGUGAAUUUGCCCUCCCCCACUCCUUUGACAAUUGUCCCUGUGUUUGUCUCCGGGCCCUGAGAUUGGCCCUGCUUAUCUUGCUGACCUUCAUCGUCUGCUGGACCCCUUAUUACCUACUGGGUCUGUGGUACUGGUUCUCCCUCACCAUGCUAACUGAAGUCCCUCCCAGCCUGAGCCACAUCCUUUUCCUCUUUAGCCUCCUCAAUGCUCCUUUGGAUCCUCUCCUCUAUGGGGCCUUCACCCUUGGCUGCCGAAGAGGGCACCAAGAACUUAGCAUAGACGUUUCUAAAGAAGGGUCUGGGAGAAUGCUCCAAGAGGAGAUUCAUGCCCUUAGACAGCUAGAAGUACAAAAAACUGUGACAUCAAGAAAGGCAGGAGAAACAAAAGACAUUUCUAUAACAUCUAUCUGA